Molecule: ribosomal RNA, 453 nt
Filed under: uncultured Methylobacterium sp.
Lineage: Bacteria; Pseudomonadati; Pseudomonadota; Alphaproteobacteria; Hyphomicrobiales; Methylobacteriaceae
Description: bacterial SSU rRNA
Rfam family: Bacterial small subunit ribosomal RNA
Source: RNAcentral
AGAGUUUGAUCCUGGCUCAGAGCGAACGCUGGCGGCAGGCUUAACACAUGCAAGUCGAGCGGGCCCUUCGGGGUCAGCGGCGGACGGGUGAGUAACGCGUGGGAACGUGCCUUCUGGUUCGGAAUAACCCUGGGAAACUAGGGCUAAUACCGGAUACGCCCUUAUGGGGAAAGGUUUACUGCCGGAAGAUCGGCCCGCGUCUGAUUAGCUAGUUGGUGGGGUAACGGCCUACCAAGGCGACGAUCAGUAGCUGGUCUGAGAGGAUGAUCAGCCACACUGGGACUGAGACACGGCCCAGACUCCUACGGGAGGCAGCAGUGGGGAAUAUUGGACAAUGGGCGCAAGCCUGAUCCAGCCAUGCCGCGUGAGUGAUGAAGGCCUUAGGGUUGUAAAGCUCUUUUAUCCGGGACGAUAAUGACGGUACCGGAGGAAUAAGCCCCGGCUAACUUCGUG